AGGCUAUCAUUGCGUCUGCCAUGCACACGCAGUGAGCUCACACACGCAUGCGCGCGGAUCCGUGACACGCCCUCCUUUAUGGGCUUCUGUUUCAAGGGUGCUUUCCUGUCGGCCUGUUUCUUGGCUUCGGUGUACGUACUGCUUUGCCUUUGCCUGUGACGCUCUCUCCUGUGUGUGUGUGUGUGUGUGUGUGUGUGUGUCGGCGCAUUCGGUAUCUGGCUCGCUCUUCGCCCAUCUCUGACUCCGCUGCACACCUCCUACACACUCGCUUCGCGUUGUGUUUUCAUGUAUGCUAUCACUCCGGUGAGUGCUCGUUCCUCACACGUUUCCCCUCUCUCGGCUUCGGCCUCGUCCAAGUCGUUGCCAUAGCGGACUCGCUUCCCGAGUCGACCCACCGACCCACCCACUUCGAAAAAGCCUGGAGGAAGAGAGCAACGCUCCUCCAUUCAACCUCCUUUCGAAUACACAAGCACACUUACUCACACAGGAAACGGGAGCAAAACAUAGGCCGCACCGCGUGCGCACGCUCCUCUGUUUUUUUUUGUUUUCGUUUGCAGGGGGGCGGUCUGACGCUGCGAUUUCAGUCUCCUCGUCGUUCCGCUGAUUCAACUCACUGUUUCUCACGCACUUUCCUCCCCUCUCCUCCUCUCUCCUUUUUUUGCUCUCCCUCAUCGCGCCGGAUCUAAAAUUGUGGCCAAACGCUCGUUUUCACGUUUGCCAUUCUGUGCGUGCGCUUCACACCACCACACACGCUUUCCCGCCCUUAUACCGGCACGAACGCACUCACACGCUGACGAGACACGUGCAACAG
Molecule: unclassified non-coding RNA, 811 nt
Filed under: Leishmania donovani
Lineage: Eukaryota; Euglenozoa; Kinetoplastea; Trypanosomatida; Trypanosomatidae
Description: gene:unknown
Source: RNAcentral